Molecule: ribosomal RNA, 321 nt
Filed under: uncultured eukaryote
Lineage: Eukaryota
Description: partial 18S ribosomal RNA
Rfam family: Eukaryotic small subunit ribosomal RNA
Source: RNAcentral
CCCUUAGAUGUUCUGGGCUGCACGCGUGCUACAAUGGCGCUUGCAACAAGUCUUGCCAACCCGAUAGGGUGAGCGGAUCUUCGAAGUGGCGUCGUGAUCGGGACAGUUGAUUGCAAUUAUUCGACUCGAACGAGGAAUUCCUUGUAAUCGUGCGUCAUCAGCGCACGCUGAAUACGUCCCUGUUCUUUGUACACACCGCCCGUCGCUCCUACCGAUCGAGCGAUCCAAUGAAUGUUUCGGAGCGGAACUGAGAUGCUAAUGCGUCUCUUUUACGCGAAUUUGUGUGAAUUUGAUCGCUUAGAGGAAGGAGAAGUCGUAACA